UGGGGAAUAUUGCACAAUGGGCGAAAGCCUGAUGCAGCGACGCCGCGUGAGGGAUGACGGCCUUCGGGUUGUAAACCUCUUUCAGCAGGGACGAAGCGCAAGUGACGGUACCUGCAGAAGAAGCACCGGCUAACUACGUGCCAGCAGCCGCGGUAAUACGUAGGGUGCAAGCGUUGUCCGGAAUUACUGGGCGUAAAGAGUUCGUAGGCGAUUUGUCGCGUCGUUUGUGAAAACCAGCAGCUCAACUGCUGGCUUGCAGGCGAUACGGGCAGACUUGAGUACUGCAGGGGAGACUGGAAUUCCUGGUGUAGCGGUGAAAUGCGCAGAUAUCAGGAGGAACACCGGUGGCGAAGGCGGGUCUCUGGGCAGUAACUGACGCUGAGGAACGAAAGCGUGGGUAGCGAACAGG
Molecule: ribosomal RNA, 409 nt
Filed under: Acidobacteriota bacterium
Lineage: Bacteria; Pseudomonadati; Acidobacteriota
Also listed under: 1 other name
Description: Acidobacteria bacterium partial 16S ribosomal RNA
Rfam family: Bacterial small subunit ribosomal RNA
Source: RNAcentral